This 874-nucleotide ribosomal RNA is filed under the name Apiospora neobambusae. RNAcentral describes it as "Arthrinium bambusae partial large subunit ribosomal RNA". It matches the Rfam family "Eukaryotic large subunit ribosomal RNA", at positions 52 to 954 of the family's 3401-position model. Lineage: Eukaryota; Fungi; Ascomycota; Sordariomycetes; Amphisphaeriales; Apiosporaceae. The record is from RNAcentral.
GGAGGAAAAGAAACCAACAGGGAUUCCCCUAGUAACGGCGAGUGAAGCGGGAACAGCUCAAAUUUGAAAUCUGGCCCUUGGGUCCGAGUUGUAAUUUGCAGAGGAUGCUUUUGGUGCGGUGCCUUCCGAGUUCCCUGGAACGGGACGCCUUAGAGGGUGAGAGCCCCGUACGGUUGGCCACCAAGCCUGUGUAAAGCUCCUUCGACGAGUCGAGUAGUUUGGGAAUGCUGCUCUAAAUGGGAGGUAUAUUUCUUCUAAAGCUAAAUACCGGCCAGAGACCGAUAGCGCACAAGUAGAGUGAUCGAAAGAUGAAAAGCACUUUGAAAAGAGGGUUAAAUAGCACGUGAAAUUGUUGAAAGGGAAGGGUUUAUCACCAGACUUUUUUCAGGGGGAUCAUCCGGUGUUCUCACCGGUGCACUUCCCCUGGAGGAGGCCAGCAUCGGUUUUCGUAGGGGGAGAAAAGCUUCGGGAAUGUGACUCCUCCGGGAGUGUUAUAGCCCGUUGCAUAAUACCCUUACGGGGACCGAGGUCUGCGCAUUGCAAGGAUGCUGGCGUAAUGGUGAUUAGCCACCCGUCUUGAAACACGGACCAAGGAGUCGAACAUUUGUGCGAGUGUUUGGGUGUUAAACCCUCACGCGUAAUGAAAGUGAACGGAGGUGAGAGCCCUUCGGGGUGCAUCAUCGACCGAUCCUGAUGUCUUCGGAUGGAUUUGAGUAAGAGCAUAACUGUUCGGACCCGAAAGAUGGUGAACUAUGCGUGGAUAGGGUGAAGCCAGAGGAAACUCUGGUGGAGGCUCGCAGCGGUUCUGACGUGCAAAUCGAUCGUCAAAUCUGCGCAUGGGGGCGAAAGACUAAUCGAACCAUCUAGUAGCUGG